ACUGAAGACACUAGAGACAAACAUCCUCUCUUUAGCCAUUGAACAGGUGCAGUAUAGACAGCAGCAGGAUGAGCUUCCCCACACUGUCCCACCAAUGAACCUCUUCCGUGCUUUGCAGAAACCUUUAGGAGUGAGAAAGUGUCUUAGCCUGUGUGGCCCACCUGAUUUGCUGAAACU
RNAcentral lists this small RNA (177 nucleotides) under Gopherus agassizii (Agassiz's desert tortoise). RNAcentral's name for it is "TUC338 (ENSGAGG00000019126.1)". Lineage: Eukaryota; Metazoa; Chordata; Testudines; Testudinidae. The record is from RNAcentral.